RNAcentral lists this ribosomal RNA (409 nucleotides) under bacterium enrichment culture clone LiUU-16-733. RNAcentral's name for it is "bacterial SSU rRNA". It matches the Rfam family "Bacterial small subunit ribosomal RNA", at positions 509 to 916 of the family's 1533-position model. The record is from RNAcentral.
CAGCAGCCGCGGUAAUACGGGAGUGGCAAGCGUUAUCCGGAAUUAUUGGGCGUAAAGCGUCCGCAGGCGGCCCUGAAAGUCUGUCGUUAAAGCGUGGAGCUCAACUCCAUUUAAGCGAUGGAAACUACAGGGCUAGAGUGUGGUAGGGGCAGAGGGAAUUCCCGGUGUAGCGGUGAAAUGCGUAGAUAUCGGGAAGAACACCAGUGGCGAAGGCGCUCUGCUGGGCCAUAACUGACGCUCAUGGACGAAAGCCAGGGGAGCGAAAGGGAUUAGAUACCCCUGUAGUCCUGGCCGUAAACGAUGAACACUAGGUGUCGGGGGAAUCGACCCCCUCGGUGUCGUAGCCAACGCGUUAAGUGUUCCGCCUGGGGAGUACGCACGCAAGUGUGAAACUCAAAUGAAUUGACGG